Molecule: ribosomal RNA, 496 nt
Filed under: uncultured bacterium
Lineage: Bacteria
Description: partial 16S ribosomal RNA
Rfam family: Bacterial small subunit ribosomal RNA
Source: RNAcentral
GAUGAACGCUGGCGGCGUGCCUAAUACAUGCAAGUCGAGCGAACGGACGAGAAGCUUGCUUUUCUGAUGUUAGCGGCGGAAGGGUGAGUAACACGUGGAUAACCUACCUAUAAGACUGGGAUAACUUCGGGAAACCGGAGCUAAUACCGGAUAAUAUUUUGAACCGCAUGGUUCAAAAGUGAAAGACGGUCUUGCUGUCACUUAUAGAUGGAUCCGCGCUGCAUUAGCUAGUUGGUAAGGUAACGGCUUACCAAGGCAACGAUGCAUAGCCGACCUGAGAGGGUGAUCGGCCACACUGGAACUGAGACACGGUCCAGACUCCUACGGGAGGCAGCAGUAGGGAAUCUUCCGCAAUGGGCGAAAGCCUGACGGAGCAACGCCGCGUGAGUGAUGAAGGUCUUCGGAUCGUAAAACUCUGUUAUUAGGGAAGAACAUAUGUGUAAGUAACUGUGCACAUCUUGACGGUACCUAAUCAGAAAGCCACGGCUAACUACGU